RNAcentral lists this ribosomal RNA (550 nucleotides) under Bacillus cereus. RNAcentral's name for it is "bacterial SSU rRNA". It matches the Rfam family "Bacterial small subunit ribosomal RNA", at positions 72 to 593 of the family's 1533-position model. Lineage: Bacteria; Bacillati; Bacillota; Bacilli; Caryophanales; Bacillaceae. The record is from RNAcentral.
UUAAGAGCUUGCUCNNUAUGUAAGUAUACGCGCGCGAGACGGGUGAGUCACACGUGGGAUAACCUGCCCAUAACACUGGAUAUAACUCCGGAAAAACCGGGGCUAAUACCGAUAUAACAUUUGUAGAACCGCAUGGUUCGAAAUUGAAGGGCGGCUUCCGCUGUCUCUUAUGGAUGGACCCGCGUCGCAUUAUCUAUUUGGAGAGGUAACGGCUCACCAGGGCAACUAUGCAUACCCGACCUGAGAGGGUGAUCGGCCACUGUGAGACUGACACACGGCCCACACUCCUACGGGAGGCAGCAAUAGGGAAUCUUCCGCAAUGGAAAAAAGUCUGACAGAGCAACCCCGCGUGAGUGAUGAAGGCUUUCAGGUCGUAAAACUCUGUUGUUAGGGAAGAACAAGUGCUACUAGAAUAAGCUGGCACCUUGACGGUACCUAACCAAAAACCCACGGCUAACUACGUGCCAGCACCCGCGGUAAUACAUAUGUGGCAAGCGUUAUCCAGAAUUAUUGGGCAUAAAGCGCGCACGCGUGGUUUCUUAACUCUGAU